Molecule: ribosomal RNA, 253 nt
Filed under: uncultured bacterium
Lineage: Bacteria
Description: partial 16S ribosomal RNA
Rfam family: Bacterial small subunit ribosomal RNA
Source: RNAcentral
GACGAACCGUGCGAACGUUGUUCGGAAUCACUGGGCUUAAAGGGCGCGUAGGCGGGCGACCAAGUCCUGGGUGAAAUCCUCCGGCUUAACCGGAGAAGUGCCUGAGAUACUGGUCGUCUGGAGGGAGGUAGGGGCAGCUGGAACUUCCGGUGGAGCGGUGAAAUGCGUUGAUAUCGGAAGGAACGCCGGUGGCGAAAGCGAGCUGCUGGACCUCUUCUGACGCUGAGGCGCGAAAGCCAGGGGAGCAAACGGG